This is an RNA transcript of Myotis brandtii (Brandt's bat), 2451 nucleotides long. It is a transcript of the gene named chromosome unknown open reading frame, human C1orf105, with no coding region annotated. The transcript has 7 exons. Lineage: Eukaryota; Metazoa; Chordata; Mammalia; Chiroptera; Vespertilionidae. The record is from RefSeq and is a predicted model, not a curated record.
GGGCGGGGUGGAGGCGGGGCUGGGCGAAGCGAGCUGAGCGCGGCUGCCGGUGUUGAGUUCCCGGUGUGAAGUCAGGCCCUCGGCGGGGGCCUUCCCGGGGUCCGUGCAUUCUCUCGACACAGUCACCGAAUCCCUGCAGGUGCUGGUGACACCGCUGCUGCGCGGGAGGGAGCUUUCGGUCCCGCCCACUGACCUGUGAUGUGACGGCCGCCCCGCCCUCGUAGGGGACAGAACUGGGGCUCAGAGAGGUGGUGGUUGGUCCGCCCAGCUGGGAAGUGGAUUCACAAAGUUAACGUCCUUCUUCUCUUUGCCUGGAGAAGGGACGAGGGUGGCGGACUCAGCCGCAGACGUGGACUAGCAGGUCCCUGAGACCCAGCGGAGUGCAUGGAGGCACCCGCGUCUGCAGAACAGAGGGGCGUGACCCAGAAGCAAAGGGACAGCGAACACAUGACACGGGGGACUCAACAGUCGGGAACCCCGAAUCCACGCCCCACCAGCGUGACUCGGCCAACAGGCUGAGCUUCCAUUUCUCCAUCAGCGGAAUGGGGACCACACUGUUUGCUCUUGGCCAUUGUGUGGGCAACCCAAAGAGUUAACUAAAUGUAACUGCUCACCAAAAAAAAAAAUGUAUUGAGUGCUGUCCAGCUGCCAUCAGCUUGCUCUGGUCAAGCGCGACAGAUUCUGGAAAAUGAUUUCUUUCCAUGUCUCUCCAGGCUUCUGUUCCCAAGUUCGACAGGAUCCCCUGGCUUUGUGAGGCCAGCCUGAGAAACAAGCCCCUGGUGCUCAGCCUCCCCAGAAGAUACCCUCAUGGCUCUGCCACUUCUCUGAAUUCAUGGAGGAAGGAUGUGAAUUCGCCAAAUAUGUUUCAAGUUCCAAAUGGCUUAUCUAAGGCCAGGAGGAACCAGAGAGGCCCCAUGCUGGGCAGGAACCAGCAGCUGUGCUCCACAUGCCAGGAAGUGAGAAUGGUUCAACCAAGAACAAUGAUGAUCCCAAAUGAUCUGAAACAUUCCUUUGAGAAUUGUAUGAGUCAUAGAACGAAGAGUCUUCAGCCACCAAAAGCUCAGACUGAACCCAGGUGUUCCCCUGAUGACAUCUCAACAGGUCAAUCCUUCAAAGAUUUUCUUGAAAGUCGGAAGAAGACAGAGAAAUGACCUCAUGAGGUCACCAUGGUGACCACAAAGCUGCAGGACUUGCCAAGUUCAUUUCUUAUUCACUCCUCCUCCAGCUCCCCAUCUCUCCUUGUUUCUCUCCAUGUACCCCUUGUUCAUAUUAUGCCUCCUUCCCUCUGUCAGUAUAUUCUUUUAUCUCAACAGGUUUCUAAUGUUGUGAAAAUGUUCAAAUUAAAGAUAGAUUAUGUGAAUGUUCUGAUGACGUCAGAGGAAAGUUCUUUGGAUUUCCUAGUUCUCUGAUGACUAAUUUUUUCUCUGGGAGUAAAUUCUGCAUCCAGCAAACAGAUGAGCUCUUCCCCAGGUUAGUAACCACUGCUGGGCCUUCAACAGGUAAGAGAGUAAUUGGCUGCCUUUUUCAAGAUUAAGGCCGAGAAUCUGUAUUGGUUUUUCACUGGAAAGAAAGAGAAAUAACUCUGCUCAGAGAUGCUGUCCCUGGACCAGGGGGGGGAGCAGUACGUACUCCCGGGGGACUUCAGGGCAUUCAAGACAUUCUGUCAUCUGCCCAAACUGCCUUUCACCUAUGUCUGCUACAACCCCCUGACAUGCCUCCUCUCAAGGUAAACUGACCAUCUUUCUUUCUCCUUGAGUAUAGGAGGUGAACCUCCAUUCCUUAGCUUUCUGCCCUUCCCAAUGCCUGGGAAGUGCCAUCUGCACCUGAAACACGACAUGAACAUGGUCAGUGGCUCAGGCUCCCUUGGCCAGGGAAUAUUCAUCCGGCGGCUUUAAGGCCCAGUCCUAAUCCUUCUCUCCCACUACUUCCCUGGAGUAGCCAGCUUGAUCCAUCCCCGCCUUUCUCCUCUGAACACCUACAGCACUUACCCUCAUCAGGCAAGAGUUCAUCUCCACGAUGAAAGCAUAUUGGUGUUGAAACUGGACAUGUCGCUCUUGAGAAAAUUAACAGGCUCAGAAAAAGUGGUGUGUGUGUGUGUGUGUGUGUGUGUGUGUGUGUGUGUGGUGUGUUAGUGAAGGAACUGAGGGCAGACAGCAUGGCAGAGUGGGUGGGGAGUUGAUGAAUACAGAGAGUAAUUAGAGAGAAGUGAUGAAAAGGAAAUAUCACCUUCUGCUCCUGAUCACUUAUUGUGCAAAACCCAUGUUCACUAGUCCUCCCUCAUAGCUGUAAUGAUAAAAAAGUCUUUUCAAUUCAGAGAGACCACUACACACGCACACAUUCUACACCCAAGAUGCCAAAAUGUUCACUAAAUUGCAUUUAACUUCCCACAUGCUGUUGCUUUGAGGUCCUUCUGUAUCCUCAUGACCAAAACUCAAGACUGAAGAGUUUACA